Molecule: ribosomal RNA, 515 nt
Filed under: uncultured bacterium
Lineage: Bacteria
Description: partial 16S ribosomal RNA
Rfam family: Bacterial small subunit ribosomal RNA
Source: RNAcentral
GAUGAACGCUGGCGGCGUGCCUAAUACAUGCAAGUCGAGCGAAUGGAUUGAGAGCUUGCUCUUAUGAAGUUAGCGGCGGACGGGUGAGUAACACGUGGGUAACCUGCCCAUAAGACUGGGAUAACUCCGGGAAACCGGGGCUAAUACCGGAUAACAUUUUGAACCGCAUGGUUCGAAAUUGAAAGGCGGCUUCGGCUGUCACUUAUGGAUGGACCCGCGUCGCAUUAGCUAGUUGGUGAGGUAACGGCUCACCAAGGCAACGAUGCGUAGCCGACCUGAGAGGGGGAUCGGCCACACUGGGACUGAGACACGGCCCAGACUCCUACGGGGGGCAGAAGUAGGGAAUCUUCCGCAAUGGACGAAAGUCUGACGGAGCAACGCCGCGUGAGUGAUGAAGGCUUUCGGGUCGUAAAACUCUGUUGUUAGGGAAGAACAAGUGCUAGUUGAAUAAGCUGGCACCUUGACGGUACCUAACCAGAAAGCCACGGCUAACUACGUGCCAGCCGCCGCAGUAA